RNAcentral lists this ribosomal RNA (502 nucleotides) under uncultured bacterium. RNAcentral's name for it is "partial 16S ribosomal RNA". It matches the Rfam family "Bacterial small subunit ribosomal RNA", at positions 30 to 523 of the family's 1533-position model. The record is from RNAcentral.
AUUGAACGCUGGCGGCAUGCCUUACACAUGCAAGUCGAACGGCAGCACGGGAGCUUGCUCCUGGUGGCGAGUGGCGAACGGGUGAGUAAUACAUCGGAACGUACCCAGUAGUGGGGGAUAACGCACCGAAAGGUGCGCUAAUACCGCAUACGACCUACGGGGGAAAGCGGGGGACCGUAAGGCCUCGCGGUAUUGGAGCGGCCGAUGUCUGAUUAGCUAGUUGGUGAGGUAAAGGCUCACCAAGGCUUCGAUCAGUAGCUGGUCUGAGAGGACGAUCAGCCACACUGGGACUGAGACACGGCCCAGACUCCUACGGGAGGCAGCAGUGGGGAAUUUUGGACAAUGGGCGAAAGCCUGAUCCAGCAAUGCCGCGUGUGCGAAGAAGGCCUUCGGGUUGUAAAGCACUUUUGUCAGGGAAGAAAUCUUUUAGGCUAAUACCCUGGAAGGAUGACGGUACCUGAAGAAUAAGCACCGGCUAACUACGUGCCAGCAGCCGCCGUAA